Molecule: ribosomal RNA, 547 nt
Filed under: Porphyrobacter sp. Sand_R2A_F7
Lineage: Bacteria; Pseudomonadati; Pseudomonadota; Alphaproteobacteria; Sphingomonadales; Erythrobacteraceae
Description: bacterial SSU rRNA
Rfam family: Bacterial small subunit ribosomal RNA
Source: RNAcentral
GGGUCUAGUGGCGCACGGGUGCGUAACGCGUGGGAACCUGCCUUUAGGUUCGGAAUAACUCAGAGAAAUUUGAGCUAAUACCGGAUAAUGUCUUCGGACCAAAGAUUUAUCGCCUUUAGAUGGGCCCGCGUUGGAUUAGCUAGUUGGUGGGGUAAAGGCCUACCAAGGCGACGAUCCAUAGCUGGUCUGAGAGGAUGAUCAGCCACACUGGGACUGAGACACGGCCCAGACUCCUACGGGAGGCAGCAGUGGGGAAUAUUGGACAAUGGGCGAAAGCCUGAUCCAGCAAUGCCGCGUGAGUGAUGAAGGCCUUAGGGUUGUAAAGCUCUUUUACCCGAGAUGAUAAUGACAGUAUCGGGAGAAUAAGCUCCGGCUAACUCCGUGCCAGCAGCCGCGGUAAUACGGAGGGAGCUAGCGUUGUUCGGAAUUACUGGGCGUAAAGCGCACGUAGGCGGCUUUUUAAGUCAGGGGUGAAAUCCCGGGGCUCAACCCCGGAACUGCCCUUGAAACUGGGAAGCUAGAAUCUUGGAGAGGCGAGUGGAAUUCC